GUUAAGGCCCUUUUCAGGGCCAUCUACUUUUUCUAUGAAAGAGCU
Non-coding RNA from Camelus ferus (Wild Bactrian camel), 45 nucleotides. NCBI's taxonomy places the organism in Eukaryota, Metazoa, Chordata, Mammalia, Artiodactyla, Camelidae. The record is from Rfam.